UACGUAGGGACCAAGCGUUGUCCGGAAUCAUUGGGCGUAAAGAGCGUGUAGGCGGCUUGUUAAGUCUUGCGUGAAAUCUCGGGGCUCAACCCCGAGUGGUCGUGAGAAACUGGCAGGCUAGAGUGCGGGAGAGGAGAGCGGAAUUCCUGGUGUAGCGGUGAAAUGCGCAGAUAUCAGGAAGAACACCCGUGGCGAAGGCGGCUCUCUGGAACGCAACUGACGCUGAGACGCGAAAGCGUGGGGAGCAAACAGG
Molecule: ribosomal RNA, 253 nt
Filed under: uncultured bacterium
Lineage: Bacteria
Description: partial 16S ribosomal RNA
Rfam family: Bacterial small subunit ribosomal RNA
Source: RNAcentral